Molecule: non-coding RNA, 251 nt
Organism: Pelobates cultripes (western spadefoot toad)
Lineage: Eukaryota; Metazoa; Chordata; Amphibia; Anura; Pelobatidae
Source: the annotation of a GenBank genome assembly
CGGAUACUCCAUAGACCUGAAUGUUGCAUUCUCGCGUAUUCCAGAAUACGGCAUUGACAUCAGCUAAUGGCCGCUGAAGCGCCAGGUGUUGAAGAGGACUGAAUGGAAGAGCAUAGUGGUUGCCACAAGAGACAGGUCCAGGUAAGUAUAACUCAUCUCUCCCUGCACCCCGGGUUACUGAACACUCAGCAGUAAUGUCAAUAUUGGGGAUGUUUGCAAAUUAUGCAAAGACUCCAGACUAUGACAAAGCC